Molecule: long non-coding RNA, 360 nt
Organism: Cebus imitator (Panamanian white-faced capuchin)
Lineage: Eukaryota; Metazoa; Chordata; Mammalia; Primates; Cebidae
Exons: 4
Source: RefSeq, a predicted model, not a curated record
UCCCUACACGGCGCUCUUCCCAUCUCUCCUAUUCCAUCUCCCUACUCCAAAAAUCCAUUUAAUAUAUUGUCCUCGGAUAGAGGACGUAUCAGAUAUUAAACUGAUAAGAACAGAUACUACACUUGAUCUUAGCCAAAAGGCCGAGAAGCGAUGCUGCCGUCUCCGUCCCCGCCGUCACCGUCCCACCCUCAUCCACAUUCAAGUCGCGGUGAGAGCCCCAGCCUCGCUCCUUGCCUCAUUCCCUUUGUCUCGUCCACACCACUAUUCACGCCAUCACACACUCGGGCUGAUUUAUUUUUCUCCACGUUUGGCAGAAGAAAUCUUACACCCCUGCUUGCUCCGGCGUUCCCAGCCUUUUAU